This 460-nucleotide ribosomal RNA is filed under the name uncultured bacterium. Its description in RNAcentral is "partial 16S ribosomal RNA". It matches the Rfam family "Bacterial small subunit ribosomal RNA", at positions 338 to 795 of the family's 1533-position model. The record is from RNAcentral.
CCUACGGGAGGCAGCAGUGAGGAAUAUUGGUCAAUGGACGAGAGUCUGAACCAGCGAAGUAGCGUGAAGGAUGACUGACCUAGGGGUUGUAAACUUCUUUUAUAUGGGAAUAAAAUGUUCCACGUGUGGGAUUUUGUAUGUAUCAUAUGAAUAAGGAUCGGCUAACUCCGUGCCAGCAGCCGCGGUAAUACGGAGGAUCCGAGCGUUAUCCGGAUUUAUUGGGUUUAGAGGGAGCGUAGGUGGAUUGUUAAGUCAGUUGUGAAAGUUUGCGGCUCAACCGUAAAAUUGCAGUUGAAACUGGCAGUCUUGAGUACAGUAGAGGUGGGCGGAAUUCGGAGUGUAGCGGUGAAAUGCUUAGAUAUCACGAAGAACUCCGAUUGCGAAGGCAGUUCACUGGACUGCAACUGACACUGAGGCUCGAAAGUGUGGGUAGCAAACAGGAUUAGAUACCCGAGUAGUC